AAACUCAAAGGAAUUGACGGGGACCCGCACAAGCGGUGGAUGAUGUGGUUUAAUUCGAUGCAACGCGAAAAACCUUACCCACCUUUGACAUGUACGGAAUUUUCCAGAGAUGGAUUAGUGCUCGAAAGAGAGCCGUAACACAGGUGCUGCAUGGCUGUCGUCAGCUCGUGUCGUGAGAUGUUGGGUUAAGUCCCGCAACGAGCGCAACCCUUGUCAUUAGUUGCUACAUUUCAGUUGGGCACUCUAAUGAGACUGCCGGUGACAAACCGGAGGAAGGUGGGGAUGACGUCAAGUCCUCAUGGCCCUUAUAGGUGGGGCUACACACGUCAUACAAUGGCUGGUACAAAGGGUUGCCAACCCGCGAGGGGAGCUAAUCCCAUAAAGCCAGUCGUAGUCCGGAUCGCAGUCUGCAACUCGACUGCGUGAAGUCGGAAUCGCUAGUAAUCGUGGAUCAGAAUGUCACGGUGAAUACGUUCCCGGGUCUUGUACACACCGCCCGUCACACCAUGGGAGCGGGUUCUGCCAGAAGUAGUUAGCCUAACCGCAAGGAGGGCGAUUACCACGGCAGGGUUCGUGACUGGGGUGAAGUCGUAACAAGGUAGCCGUAUCGGAAGGUGCGGCUGGAUCACCUCCUUUC
Molecule: ribosomal RNA, 637 nt
Filed under: uncultured Comamonadaceae bacterium
Lineage: Bacteria; Pseudomonadati; Pseudomonadota; Betaproteobacteria; Burkholderiales; Comamonadaceae
Description: bacterial SSU rRNA
Rfam family: Bacterial small subunit ribosomal RNA
Source: RNAcentral